GACGAACGCUGGCGGCGUGCUUAACACAUGCAAGUCGAACGGAAAGGCCCUGCUUUUGUGGGGUGCUCGAGUGGCGAACGGGUGAGUAACACGUGAGUAACCUGCCCUUGACUUUGGGAUAACUUCAGGAAACUGGGGCUAAUACCGGAUAGGAGCUCCUGCUGCAUGGUGGGGGUUGGAAAGUUUCGGCGGUUGGGGAUGGACUCGCGGCUUAUCAGCUUGUUGGUGGGGUAGUGGCUUACCAAGGCUUUGACGGGUAGCCGGCCUGAGAGGGUGACCGGCCACAUUGGGACUGAGAUACGGGCCAGAAUCCUACGGGGGGCAGGCGUGGGGAAUAUUGCACAAUGGGCGGAAGCCUGAUGCAGCAACGCCGCGUGCGGGAUGACGGCCUUCGGGUUGUAAACCGCUUUCGCCUGUGACGAAGCGUGAGUGACGGUAAUGGGUAAAGAAGCACCGGCUAACUACGUG
This 468-nucleotide ribosomal RNA is filed under the name uncultured bacterium. Its description in RNAcentral is "partial 16S ribosomal RNA". It matches the Rfam family "Bacterial small subunit ribosomal RNA", at positions 28 to 507 of the family's 1533-position model. The record is from RNAcentral.